This 831-nucleotide ribosomal RNA is filed under the name uncultured beta proteobacterium. RNAcentral's name for it is "bacterial SSU rRNA". It matches the Rfam family "Bacterial small subunit ribosomal RNA", at positions 58 to 887 of the family's 1533-position model. Lineage: Bacteria; Pseudomonadati; Pseudomonadota; Betaproteobacteria. The record is from RNAcentral.
CAAGUCGAACGCGAAAGGGGGGCAACCCCUGAGUAGAGUGGCGAACGGGUGAGUAAUACAUCGGAACGUACCCAGUAGCGGGGGAUAACCUCUCGAAAGAGAGGCUAAUACCGCAUACGACCUAUGGGUGAAAGAGGGGGAUCGCAAGACCUCUCACUAUUGGAGCGGCCGAUGUCGGAUUAGCUAGUUGGUGGGGUAAUGGCCUACCAAGGCGACGAUCCGUAGCUGGUCUGAGAGGACGGCCAGCCACACUGGAACUGAGACACGGUCCAGACUCCUACGGGAGGCAGCAGUGGGGAAUUUUGGACAAUGGGCGAAAGCCUGAUCCAGCCAUGCCGCGUGAGUGAAGAAGGCCUUCGGGUUGUAAAGCUCUUUCGGCUGGGACGAAAAGGUCCGUGCUAACACCACGGAUCCAUGACGGUACCAGCAGAAGAAGCACCGGCUAACUACGUGCCAGCAGCCGCGGUAAUACGUAGGGUGCAGGCGUUAAUCGGAAUUACUGGGCGUAAAGCGUGCGCAGGCGGUUUGCUAAGACAGGUGUGAAAUCCCCGGGCUUAACCUGGGAACUGCGCUUGUAACUGGCAAGCUGGAGUGUGGCAGAGGGGGGUGGAAUUCCACGUGUAGCAGUGAAAUGCGUAGAGAUGUGGAGGAACACCGAUGGCGAAGGCAGCCCCCUGGGCUAACACUGACGCUCAUGCACGAAAGCGUGGGGAGCAAACAGGAUUAGAUACCCUGGUAGUCCACGCCCUAAACUAUGUCAACUGGUUGUCGGGGAAGCAAUUCCUUGGUAACGAAGCUAACGCGUGAAGUUGACCGCCUGGGGAUACGGCC